Molecule: ribosomal RNA, 585 nt
Filed under: uncultured bacterium
Lineage: Bacteria
Description: partial 16S ribosomal RNA
Rfam family: Bacterial small subunit ribosomal RNA
Source: RNAcentral
UGGGGAAUUUUGGACAAUGGGCGAAAGCCUGAUCCAGCAAUGCCGCGUGUGUGAAGAAGGCCUUCGGGUUGUAAAGCACUUUUGUCCGGAAAGAAAUCCUUGGCUCUAAUACAGUCGGGGGAUGACGGUACCGGAAGAAUAAGCACCGGCUAACUACGUGCCAGCAGCCGCGGUAAUACGUAGGGUGCAAGCGUUAAUCGGAAUUACUGGGCGUAAAGCGUGCGCAGGCGGUUUGCUAAGACCGAUGUGAAAUCCCCGGGCUCAACCUGGGAACUGCAUUGGUGACUGGCAGGCUAGAGUAUGGCAGAGGGGGGUAGAAUUCCACGUGUAGCAGUGAAAUGCGUAGAGAUGUGGAGGAAUACCGAUGGCGAAGGCAGCCCCCUGGGCCAAUACUGACGCUCAUGCGCGAAAGCGUGGGGAGCAAACAGGAUUAGAUACCCUGGUAGUCCACGCCCUAAACGAUGUCAACUAGUUGUUGGGGAUUCAUUUCCUUAGUAACGUAGCUAACGCGUGAAGUUGACCGCCUGGGGAGUACGGUCGCAAGAUUAAAACUUAAAUGAAUUGACGGGGUCAUAGCUGUUUCCU